RNAcentral lists this ribosomal RNA (225 nucleotides) under uncultured bacterium. RNAcentral describes it as "partial 16S ribosomal RNA". It matches the Rfam family "Bacterial small subunit ribosomal RNA", at positions 109 to 334 of the family's 1533-position model. The record is from RNAcentral.
CGUAACACGUGGGCAACCUUCCGAAAUAUGGGGGAUAGCCGGCCUAACGGCCGAGUAAUACCGCAUACGCUCUCGAUGAGGCAUUUCAUUGAGAGGAAACCUACGGGGUAUUUCGAGGGGCUCGCGGCCUAUCAGCUAGUUGGCGAGGUAACGGCUCACCAAGGCAACGACGGGUAGCUGGUCUGAGAGGAUGGCCAGCCACAUUGGGACUGAGAUACGGCCCAG